Molecule: long non-coding RNA, 796 nt
Organism: Cynara cardunculus var. scolymus (artichoke)
Lineage: Eukaryota; Viridiplantae; Streptophyta; Magnoliopsida; Asterales; Asteraceae
Exons: 6
Source: RefSeq, a predicted model, not a curated record
CCCAUUUUUAUCAGCAACCCUAUUCCUAAACCCAAUCCCUUUUUAUCGUCAUCCAUAUCCUAUAAACAAAAUCGAUUCCACCAUGAACAGAGAUUUUGAUGAAAUCGAUACCAACCCAAUUCGAUCUCUCGGUGUCCAGGUGGAUCUAGACUCUGUACUAACAAUGGCGUCUUGAAGAAGAAUGCUUCUCGAGAUCAUGAUCGUCGGAGAUCGAGCAGUGAAUGCUUCAGAGUUUGGCCUUGAAAGACUAUAUCUUAUUGGAAUUUGCUUUAUGUCCAAUGAGUUGGGUUGAAUCUCGUCUAUCGUAGAACCGAAUUAAUUGUUCACGCGAUUCAUACGAUUGUUCCACACUCGAUUCAAGGUAACUAAGGUGAUGGCUAGGAUGGCUUCUGCUGAUAUUAUGUGUGUUGGUUCGAAAGUUGUGCGAGAAAAGUUCUCUGGCAUCAUCAGGGUUCUUGUGUGGUGAAGAAGGAAAUUAGUUUGGAGCGACCUGGCAUAGCUGGCUGGAACUUCAAUUCGCUCGGAUAGCAAGAUUUUUGGCACUGCUGGCUGGGAUCACAGGUUAGUACAAUAUACUAGGGGUGUAUGAGUUGAAACUGCCAAACCGAAUCAAACUGGACAGUUUGGCUUCUUUUUGAGAGAGCCAGGUUCAAUCCUGUUAAAAGAAAUUUUCGAAGUGAUGGGCGUGAUUUAUGGUUUCAAGUGUUGAAUGAAAUCAAACCACCCCCAUCUUUGAUUUAACAGGUUCAUAACUACAUUUAACAGGUUCAUGUGAAAUUUGAAAUUUAUAGCGAUU